RNAcentral lists this small RNA (494 nucleotides) under Peniophorella sp. 10628MD. RNAcentral describes it as "eukaryotic LSU rRNA". The stretch from base 119 to 273 matches the Rfam family "5.8S ribosomal RNA". The record is from RNAcentral. Lineage: Eukaryota; Fungi; Basidiomycota; Agaricomycetes; Hymenochaetales.
UUAGGGGUGUGGUUCAAGGCAACUUGGACUAUUGGGUUGUGUCUUUUGCGUUUACUUUUCAUAAACUNUUGAAUGUAAUAGAAUGUUCAUGGCCUACGGGCUUUAAUAAAUGAAAUACAACUUUCAACAACGGAUCUCUUGGCUCUCGCAUCGAUGAAGAACGCAGCGAAAUGCGAUAAGUAAUGUGAAUUGCAGAAUUCAGUGAAUCAUCGAAUCUUUGAACGCCCCUUGCGCUCCUGGGCUAUUCCUAGGAGCAUGCCUGUUUGAGUGUCUUGAAAUCAUCAACCCCAGUUGGAUUUAAAAUAUGACUGGUGGCUUGGAUUUUGGGGGUUUGCUGGCCGUUUUGAUUCGGUCUGGCUCCCCUUGAAUGUAUUAGCUUGGACUUGUUCCUAAGGCUUCAUAGCGUGAUAAUUAUCUACGCUUUGUACUGUCUGUGGAAUAUCUAUGAGUCUAGCUUCUAGCCGUCCUCUGGACAAUCUUUCANUCUUUGACCU